GACGAACGCUGGCGGCGUGCUUAACACAUGCAAGUCGAACGGAAAGGCCCUGCUUUUGUGGGGUUCUCGAUUGGCGAACGGGUGAGUAACACGUGAGUAACCUGCCCUUGACUUUGGGAUAACUUCAGGAAACUGGGGCUAAUACCGGAUAGGAUCUCCUGCUGCAUGGUGGGGGUUGGAAAGUUUCGGCGGUUGGGGAUGGACUCGCGGCUUAUCAGCUUGUUGGUGGGGUAGUUGCUUACCAAGGCUUUGACGGGUAGCCGGCCUGAGAGGGUGACCGGCGACCUGGGGACUGAGAGACGGACCAGACUCCUACGGGAGGCAGUAGUGGGGAAUAUUGCCCAAUGGGCGGAAGCCUGAUGCAGAAACGCCGCGUGCGGGAUGACGGCCUUCGGGUUGUAAACCGCUUUCGCCUGUGACGAAGCGUGAGUGACGGUAAUGGGUAAAGAAGCACCGGCUAACUACGUG
RNAcentral lists this ribosomal RNA (468 nucleotides) under uncultured bacterium. Its description in RNAcentral is "partial 16S ribosomal RNA". It matches the Rfam family "Bacterial small subunit ribosomal RNA", at positions 28 to 507 of the family's 1533-position model. The record is from RNAcentral.